Molecule: long non-coding RNA, 1299 nt
Organism: Poecilia latipinna (sailfin molly)
Lineage: Eukaryota; Metazoa; Chordata; Actinopteri; Cyprinodontiformes; Poeciliidae
Exons: 2
Source: RefSeq, a predicted model, not a curated record
UCACGUUCAUGUUUUUUAAACAAUUUUUAUUUCUCUUCCCCCGUUACAAUUUAGUGCCCUGACUCAGCCUGCAAGCAGGAUCUGCUGGCCUACCUGCAGAGAAUCGCCCUGUACUGUCAUCAGCUCAACAUCUGUAGCAAGGUGAAGGCGGAGGUGCAGAAUCUGGGCGGAGAGCUCAUUGUUUCUGGGUUGGACAGCGCCACCUCUCUGAUCCAGGCAGCCAAAAACCUCAUGAAUGCUGUGGUGCUGACUGUAAAGGCAUCCUAUGUAGCCUCCACCAAAUACCAGAAGGUUUACGGCACGGCCGCGGUUAACUCACCGGUGGUUUCCUGGCGCAUGAAGGCUCCCGAGAAGAAGCCUUUGGUCAAACGGGAGAAACCAGAGGAAUGCCAGACGCGCGUGCGACGAGGCUCCCAGAAGAAACACAUAUCCCCCGUCCAGGCCCUCAGUGAAUUCAAGGCCAUGGACUCCUUCUAAAAAAAAAAUAUAAAAUUAAAAAAAAAAAAAAAAAACACGAUGGUAUAAGUCGGUGAAAAAAAAAGUCCCUUUUCACAUUGUGUUAAUCUACUUCCGUUUGCUGUGUGUGCUUGGUGACACCGCAGGAGGACUGCAGUACAUAUUUAACUGCCUUUACUGUGGCUCGGCUAACACUGUGGUCUUCAUGGCUCACAGAACACCAACACACCCGAUAGUAUUUAUUGAUCUUAUUGUAGCUUAAUGUGAGAGCCAAAAUGUGACAAACUACUUCUGAAAACCGGGACUUAAUAUUUAUCAAAAGAGGAAAAGGGGCAAAUAACAAAAAAGAAAAAAUCCCAGUCGAUAUUCUAGCUAUAUCAUUAACGUGCUGCAGACUGGCUGCUUGUGAACACACUAAAACUGAAUGGAAACUGAAUGAGUAGAGGAAUCAUUCUAUGCUGAAUAAAUUGGUGGUUUUGACCCCUCUUGAUUUUUUUUUCUUCCAAUCUGAAUGUUAACCUGUAGUUUUAGGAAUAUCCUAUGUUAAAAAUCCUGAGAAGCAUCAGGAUCCGAAUAGUUUCCUUCCUCAUAACGAUUACUAUGACAAUAAUCCACAUGGUGUUUUCUUUUUUCUACCAAAGCACAUUUAUGGUCUAAUGUAUUCCCCCUUUAAAAUCUCUUUUAUUUAUAGAUUUCAUCACUAACUAUGAUGAGCUUGUUUGGAAGUUGUGUAGCGUAUCAUUUAGACAGAGAGGAUUGAUUAGUUGUGGUUUGCUCUGAGAAUAGAAUCCCUGCAUACAGUAACUUUAUAUUCACCCUUCUCUAAUAAAUUCCUUAACUUGA